Molecule: ribosomal RNA, 392 nt
Filed under: uncultured bacterium
Lineage: Bacteria
Description: partial 16S ribosomal RNA
Rfam family: Bacterial small subunit ribosomal RNA
Source: RNAcentral
AUACGUAGGGGGCGAGCGUUGUCCGGAAUUAUUGGGCGUAAAGGGUACGUAGGCGGUUUUUUAAGUCUGGUGUGAAAUUGGUGGGCUCAACCCACCCAAGCAUUGGAAACUGGAAAACUUGAGUCAUGGAGAGGAAAGUGGAAUUCCUAGUGUAGCGGUGAAAUGCGUAGAUAUUAGGAGGAAUACCGGGGGCGAAGGCGACUUUCUGGAAAUGGACUGACGCUGAGGUACGAAAGCGUGGGGAGCAAACAGGAUGAGAUACCCUGGUAGUCCACGCCGUAAACGAUGAGUGCUAGGUGUUGGGGGUCAAACCUCGGUGCCGCAGUUAACACAUUAAGCACUCCGCCUGGGGAGUACGUUCGCAAGCAUGAAACUCAAAGGAAUUGACGGGG